Molecule: ribosomal RNA, 26 nt
Filed under: Blumea riparia
Lineage: Eukaryota; Viridiplantae; Streptophyta; Magnoliopsida; Asterales; Asteraceae
Also listed under: 2 other names
Source: RNAcentral
UUGGGAAGUCCUCGUGUUGCACCCUC